Molecule: long non-coding RNA, 2540 nt
Filed under: Mus musculus (house mouse)
Lineage: Eukaryota; Metazoa; Chordata; Mammalia; Rodentia; Muridae
Description: predicted gene, 49636
Source: RNAcentral
UCUUUUGCUUUCUUGCCUUCCUGCUCUCCCUCUGUCCUCUUGUCCCUUCCCCCUCACUUGCCGUUUCCUCCCCUCCCCCUUUCCAUGUACUCACGGCGGUCUCUCUAAGCUCCCCCCUCUCUCCUACUCUCUCAACUCCCCUCCCCAUGUAUUCCGUCCUGUGGCUGGUCCCUCAGGGGGAAGGGAUGCCUCAGCAUGGGCCCUCGGAGGUAUCCCUAUGCCCCACACCUGACCACACAUCCACCAAACAUAUUCCUCUCCCCUUUUUAUAAAACACAACAGACUCAACUCUUGAUCCAUUCAUAGUACGAUGGCACUGUUGGGAGUGGGUAAGAGGUAUAGGUAGUUGCCUACUAUAGGUAUAGGAAGUACAUCACUGGGGUAUGACCUUGGAACUAUUUUACUUGACAUCUUCCUUUUUUCUAUUGCUUCCUGGCUGCCACGGUGUGAGCUGUUUUGCUUCUCCAUGCCUUUGGGACCCAGAUGGACCUCUAAAAGAAUAGGAGUGUCUCCCCAAUUCUGGGUAUUUUUGUAACAGCUCUACCAAACUAAUCUGUAGGAAGGAGAAAAGGUGCACAAAGACAAAGAAAUGUUCCCUGAGUUUUGGAAGAUAAUGAAGAUUUCCCAAGGUAAAAGAGGAACAGUCAACAGCCUUCAGAAGCCAGGGGAGAGGCAACGCAUGGCUGAUGGAGAGGAGGAACCAGCCAGGCUAAUACUGUGAUCACAACUGACAGAAAUAUGGCACCUCACCUACAGACAGAAGUGUUUGAAUGACUGAUGGGGAUCAGAGUCCUUUGUGGCACCGGUGCUCAGUCACAGUACAGAUGGGACUUAGUUCCUUUUCCAGCCUCACUCGGACCAUCUUCAAAGAAGAUAAGGACAAGUCUGGAAAUCACAACCUUCUUGAAUGCCGUGUCUGGGAGAGUACCUCACCUCCAAUGGUUCCCAGACCUUGUUGGCUGACUCAGAAGCUCCAGGGAUGAACGUGGCAAGCUGCCUGAUUAAUAAGCUUGCUAGCCGAUGUGGUACCCUGUAGGACCUGGCUCUGAUGCAACAUCUGGCACCAGAAGUCCCUCUGCAGGCCAGCCUGCUUACUCUACAGUGUGGACCGUGAGACAGAGAGGCUCCAUGUACUCUACCUUUGCUGACUUUUGCUUUUCUUUACUCUUACAAGAAGUUGCUGAGAUGAAAUGUAAUAGACAUCACACAUAUACACAUUUGAUACUAAAAUGUUCCUUUUAGGGAUUCACAGAGAACAGAAUAUACGGGCCAUUUCUUAAUCUUCAGGCUUGUCAUCCUCAGCCUCAUUUUGUACAACAUAAUAGCAGAGAUUUUUAUAUAAUGAAUCCUAAAGUAGCAUGUCAUUAGGAUCUGAUGGGUGGGUGAUAGACACCUGAGUCCUGAUUUUAAUUUGCCCUUGUGGUCCUUGUCUACUGUGGCUGCUGGGUAUUGGCCAGCCUUUACUUCUUUAUAUAAGAUAUAGCAGGUUUUAUUACUAACAUAGCAGAGGUUUAUAGUCCAAAUUAGGUCAGUCCUAAUGUCCACACUUCUCCAAAAUUAUAUCCCUCAGUACAAAGGAAACCAAAUUGCAGUAGAUUUUUCCACUCUUCCAAAAGACCUGAUAUUUUGUAUGGUUUGUCUGGUUACUUGCUCUACGGAAUAAGAAGCACUAUAUGUCAAAGAGUGGUCUACACCCUGCCAUUCCCCCUCUUCUGGAUAAAGUAAAUUAAGGACCUUCAGGACCAUCAUGGGCCGCUGAUGCAAUGUAUCUGUUCAGCUGUAACGGGCACAGGUAGCCUGGGCAGAGACACAUAGCUACCUCCAUGUUUACCCAUUCCGGUAAAAACUGUGCCACUCCCAUGUCUGCAUCUUUCCCACCUAGACCUCUCGCUGAUUCAUCCCAGGCCAAACAUAUUGUUAGGCCACAGAGGAGACAGUGAAGGAGCUGUCAAUCAAAGGGCAUGCAGUCCAUGAAGGAAGAGGCUCUGGGGAUGCUGAUGCGGGUUAUGAUGAACUCAUUGGUGUCGUCGACAGUUAAGCAGUGUUUAAAAGUCCAUCUUCCAAGAAAAAUAACACUGGGUGUUCCCAUAGUGAGAGUGGAAAGAUGUUGUUGCCUGUGUGGUGUAUUCUUCUUUACUUCAUCCCCAUUUCCAAGAAACAUUGAGGGAUCAGCUCAGUUGCCUGGCUCGUCAGUUAUGCACAUGUACAUACCUGAUCACUAGUUUUCUGAGCAAUUGCUGUGACAUUUCUUCUAAUGCAGGACCAUGGAGAGAGACACUAUAACGCCCUUUUAUUUUUAAGAUUUAUUUUGUAUACACUUGUUGCUCUUGCAGAGGACUGGGGUCUGGUUCUCAGUACCCACAUGGUGACUCACAACCAUCUAUAAUUCCAGUUGAAGGGAAUUGACACUCUCAUCUGGCCUCUGGAAGCACCAAGUCACAUGUAGUGCACAUUUGUUCAUAGAGACAAAACAUCCAUAUAUGUAUGUAUGUAUGUAUGUACGUAUGUAUAUAAUUAAAAAUAAUAAACUAGAAAAGUUG